Molecule: long non-coding RNA, 1782 nt
Filed under: Nicotiana benthamiana
Lineage: Eukaryota; Viridiplantae; Streptophyta; Magnoliopsida; Solanales; Solanaceae
Description: long non-coding RNA (NBEN_LNC003899)
Source: RNAcentral
UCUCACUCAAACCUUAGAAUUUUCUCCACCUCCGAUGGCGGCACUCUGAUGGUCGCCAAAUUAACAACAAGCAGUCCCCUCGAGCUCCUCUUCCCAGAUAUCCAAGCCCCUUCCCUCGAAUAUCAUCAGAACCCUUCAAAUAUUAAUUCUAAGAGACUUGAAUUUUGCCAAAAAACCUUAAUCCCGUGUUUGAGCGAUGAUUAAGACCCAUUUCGGUCAAAAUCAAAAGGUAGAAGAAGGCCUUCGAGACCCAACUCAAGAUGAUGAUUCCAUAUUAGAGCCUAACCGGUGAGAUUCCUUUUAUUUCUUUUAUUUCUCUUUGUUUAUGAGGUUCCUCUUCCCCCAUUUUUAUUUUCUAUUGGUUGAUUUCAAUUGAAAUUCAACCAGUUAUCUGUUAGAAAUUAUCUUCAGCGUUUGUUUUCUCGAAUUGAUUAUUUAAUUAGUCUAGUUAAUUGUGUUAUUUUCAACAUCUUUCUAUUUUAUUUUUAUCAAGUCUCUUCUUCUCCUUCUUCUUUUUUUGUAAUAAAAAGUUUGAGAUGUGAACUAGGUAUUAGUUGAAUUGUUGAUUGUGUUUGAUUUUAGUGCCUGUACUUGUGAAUAUUGUUAGCCAAUCUUAGGAAUAGCUCUAAAUUUUGAACCCCUUAAAUGUGGAUUGUGUUUUGAUUUUCAUAGACAAUAUUAGACUCGAAUUUGAUUAAUUUUAAUUGGAUUCCCUAAUUAGAUUCUUGGCUGAAAAGGCUGUAUUGGAUUUGAAUUAGGCAAUUUUGACCCGUUCACUUGGGUCAUUUGGACCCAAGUUCUUCCUAAUGGUUUUCGAGUUUUGGUUUGGGUUCACUGAGGUAAUUAACAGGGGUAAUCAUAGGGGGUAAUUAGAAUAGUUUAACCUUAGGGAAAUUUAUCAAUAAUGGUAUUAGGGGGUCACCAAGUAAUAAGUAGGGCACUAAUGAGCAAAAGAGGGGUUUUUCUAAAUGGGAUUGAAAAGUUUAAAGAUAACUAAUAGUGGAAGACUACUUUCUGUUUUGAAGGACUAAUUUAAGAAUGAUUAACUAUCCACUAAGGCCUAAAAAUGCGAAAAAUAAUAGAUGAUUGAAAACUUAGAGAGUGGAAUAAAAUAGGGCAUUUCUUUUGAGAGGAGUGAAAAAGACACAUAGAUUGUGAGUUAAGAGAGUUUAGGAAAACAAAGAGAGAUAUAAGGCUUUGAAGGCAUUCAGUUUUGGGAGCUUGAAAAAACACAGAGAGUUUUUGGCAGUUUUUUGAGAGAAGGGUACUGUUCAUUGCUCUUAUACAUUAAAUUUGAGUUCUUCUCUCUUCUAAAUUGCUGGAGCAUUUCCGAAAGUGUGCUGGUUCUAUUUCGUGUGAGUUUAGGGUUUGAAUCAAGUCAUUUGAGGUUCGAUUGAAUUGAUGCUGGGUGAUUCUGUAUGUUGAAUAUGGUCUAUGACUUCCUAGUUUAAUUUCAAAGUAAAGAUAAGGUGUUCUGGUUGUUUUCACUUCUUCUUGGGCCUUUGAACUGUGGUUUAGCCUUGAAUUUGGCUCUGUUUGUUCCUGGUGACUGUCGAUCUACUGUUAUAUUUGUUACUAUUGCUGUUGAUCUUUCUUCUUCUUCCAUUCUAAACUGAUUUCCAGGUACACAGCUUGACUUUGAUAAUUGUGAGUUGAAACUAUGAAGCAUGAAUAUAUGAAGAGUUGAAACAUGUAUUUUCAUUGAGUUUUCUACCUGAUUCAUGUAGCUAAGCACUUAAGUCAAUGAUGUAUAUGUAUUUCACUUUGAUUUUGCAAUAAGUG